AUCGACUCCAGGGCACUAACGACAACAAAAGUAUAUUUGGAUAUGACUGAAAGUGUCAGUGUGUGACCUUUAGCACUUUUAACCCUGAUUCCAUUUACACUGUCUACUGCACGGAAAGUGUGAGGAGAGCAAAUCGUUAUUUGCUGUUCUGUUUCCUGACUUUAUCGUUGAAACAAUAUGUCAAUCAAAGUAAGAGGUACCUUCUUAGAUUAUUCAUCGACUGAAGACUGCAGUCACUCUUUGAAAUGAAUAAUUUCUGUCACCAUAAGAUUUACACUCAGAAAUUCAGGAAGUAGAAGAAAUACACCACAGGGAAACAAUCAGGCAAAUCCAGACGGUGAGUCAUUCCGCAGAACGACUGACCUGAUCUCAUCAGUAAUGGGAGCCUAUGGAUAAAUACUUCCCCUUUCUUCCCCAAGAUAGAUGGUCCUGAGAAAAAUUUUAGGAUAUUUUGUGGGAUUGAGGAACCAGUCAUGGUAAAGGUGGCCAGGUCAAUAAGGCAUCUUUGUACUGGCUCUCCUUUCCUUCUUCUCUCCCCUAGCCCUCACUGUUGACCCCUGAAUCACACUCUCCAAUAGAGAGCUUGGACUUAAGCCUCCUUUCAGGUUUUGCUUUCUGGGGGACCCACACUAAGAUGGAGAGGAAGUGAAGUGCUGCUAACAGGUUUAAGAAACCAAUGAGCCCGUUAGUUUAUUUAGUAUUUUCUAUACAACAUAGAUUUUCGGCCCAGUUAGGACAAAGAUUACACAUAAAUACUUCCUAAGAUUAUGGGACAGGAAUGACAAAUAGGUGAAUUUGAGUUAAUGAGAGCAGAAAAGGAUUCUAAAGCUAUAAUCAAUUAGCAAAUCUAUUUUAGGCACCAUAUUGAGGUAUGUCAUCAACCAUGUUUGUCAUCCUUAGACUAAAAGAUGAAGGUGAUUAAGGGAAAGAUGGGAGGUAAUUAUGUACACUAAUAGAACAACAACAACAAAAAAGGCCAUUGUUUUCCGGUGACUUAGAUAGAGUCAUUUUUAUGAGCCCUACGUGGUACUCACAGGUAUUUCUCCCACAGUCUCUUUGACUUCAUCAUCUAGGAUUCUCCUUCAGUUCUCUACAACUUCACUGGUCUCCAAAUGCGUGCCCAUCUCACAAACUUUGCAUCUGUGGCUCCUUCUACGUGCAUGUCUUGCUCCCUCACUUCCUUCAUGUCUCUGCUCAAAUAUUAGUGAGGAG
This 1212-nucleotide long non-coding RNA is filed under the name Equus caballus (horse). RNAcentral describes it as "lncRNA (ENSECAG00000059428.1)". The record is from RNAcentral. Lineage: Eukaryota; Metazoa; Chordata; Mammalia; Perissodactyla; Equidae.